This 506-nucleotide ribosomal RNA is filed under the name uncultured bacterium. Its description in RNAcentral is "partial 16S ribosomal RNA". It matches the Rfam family "Bacterial small subunit ribosomal RNA", at positions 29 to 523 of the family's 1533-position model. The record is from RNAcentral.
AGUGAACGCUGGCGGUAGGCCUAACACAUGCAAGUCGAACGGCAGCACAGAGGAGCUUGCUCCUUGGGUGGCGAGUGGCGGACGGGUGAGGAAUACAUCGGAAUCUACUCUGUCGUGGGGGAUAACGUAGGGAAACUUACGCUAAUACCGCAUACGACCUACGGGUGAAAGCAGGGGACCUUCGGGCCUUGCGCGAUUGAAUGAGCCGAUGUCGGAUUAGCUAGUUGGCGGGGUAAGGGCCCACCAAGGCGACGAUCCGUAGCUGGUCUGAGAGGAUGAGCAGCCAGACUGGAACUGAGGACCGGUCCAGACUCCUACGGGAGGCAGCAGUGGGGAAUAUUGGACAAGGGGCGCAAGCCUGAUCCAGCCAUACCGCGUGGGUGAAGAAGGCCUUCGGGUUGUAAAGCCCUUUUGUUGGGAAAGAAAUCCAGCUGGCUAAUACCCGGUUGGGAUGACGGUACCCAAAGAAUAAGCACCGGCUAACUUCGUGCCAGCAGCCGCCGUAA